This 273-nucleotide ribosomal RNA is filed under the name uncultured Bacteroides sp. RNAcentral's name for it is "partial 16S ribosomal RNA". It matches the Rfam family "Bacterial small subunit ribosomal RNA", at positions 75 to 339 of the family's 1533-position model. The record is from RNAcentral. Lineage: Bacteria; Pseudomonadati; Bacteroidota; Bacteroidia; Bacteroidales; Bacteroidaceae.
UUAGCUUGCUAAGACUGAUGGCGACCGGCGCACGGGUGAGUAACACGUAUCCAACCUGCCGUCUACUCUUGGGACUAGCCUUUCUAGAAAGGAAGAUUAAUACAAGAUGGCAUCAUGAGUCCGCAUGUUCACAUGAUUAAAGGUAUUCCGGUAGACGAUGGGGAGUGCGUUCCAUUAGAUAGUAGGCGGGGUAACGGCCCACCUAGUCUUCGAUGGAUAGGGGUUCUGAGAGGAAGGUCCCCCACAUUGGAACUGAGACACGGUCCAAACUCC